AAUUAGAAUUCCAGGAAAAUAAACCGCCAAACGUUACACUGACCUACCAGCAUAGGGUCUGUUUUCUCUGGACGACCAGCUGAUGUUGCUGAAUUUGGCGCCCUCUACAAGCGAUUGUAAAAAGCACAUAUAAAGGACUAUCGUAAAAUACUUUUUUAAAAGCGUGUUACACUGGAUACACUGCGAAUGUCUCUGACUGGUGAGCAAACUGGUUGGUUUUCCCAUCCCACUGAGCUGCAGUUUAAAUAUUUUCCUCAGCUUAGCUGUUGUAUUAGUGCUAACAUUAACCAGGGUUAGCUCUCGCGCAGGGUCACUCUUUUUAAAUUAAAAAAUUAACGGAAAUCAACCGUCAUUAGCUCGUUUUUCUUCGGCUCAGUAAAUAUUUAAAGUAAAUAUUUAACAACUUUCUUAUUUAUUUAUUCUAAAAAGAUACACUCCAGCGUGUUUUUACUUCUGAAUAAUGGACCUCUUCAGCACUCUGACUUGCUGUGUAAGGAUGAGAGUGGCUGACCCAAGGGUGGAGAGGCCCUGUUUGGACGGCGUGACACAGUUCAGUCUCAGAGGAACACACAGCACAACCCAGAGCUUGACCAGGGUCCUCCCAUUCAUGUUUGCAGAGAGCUGUUGAAUGGUCACAGGGUGAAGAAAAGUCAACAUUGCUUCAUUCAGCCAGUCAGAUUGCCCUUUCUUACCCCUGAGACUUUGAUGUGGGGAAGAGAUUGCAACAGGAUACACUGUGGGAAGAAUACAAGCUAGUGGAGGGAGUGUGAUGCUCUGGACAGUGUUCUGCUGGGAAACUUUGGGUCUGCAGUCCAGACCUUUCAUGAAAAGAUGCAUCAUGAAAUGAAAAUUCUGACAAGACAAAAAUAAAACAAUAUUUUUAUUUUAUAAAAAUGUCUCA
This 901-nucleotide long non-coding RNA is filed under the name Astyanax mexicanus (Mexican tetra). RNAcentral's name for it is "lncRNA (ENSAMXG00005017508.1)". The record is from RNAcentral. Lineage: Eukaryota; Metazoa; Chordata; Actinopteri; Characiformes; Acestrorhamphidae.